CCGGGGCUUAUUCUCCCGGUACUGUCAUUAUCAUCCCGGGUAAAAGAGCUUUACAACCCUAAGGCCUUCAUCACUCACGCGGCAUUGCUGGAUCAGGGUUGCCCCCAUUGUCCAAUAUUCCCUACUGCUGCCUCCCGUAGGAGUCUGGGCCGUGUCUCAGUCCCAGUGUGGCUGAUCAUCCUCUCAGACCAGCUAAGGAUCGUCGGCUUGGUGAGCCUUUACCUCACCAACUAGCUAAUCCUACGCGGGCUCAUCCCUGGGAGAUAAAUCUUUGGUCUUAUCGACAUCAUCCGGUAUUA
RNAcentral lists this ribosomal RNA (299 nucleotides) under Sphingomonas sp. EML146. Its description in RNAcentral is "partial small subunit ribosomal RNA". The record is from RNAcentral. Lineage: Bacteria; Pseudomonadati; Pseudomonadota; Alphaproteobacteria; Sphingomonadales; Sphingomonadaceae.